Molecule: long non-coding RNA, 267 nt
Filed under: Manihot esculenta (cassava)
Lineage: Eukaryota; Viridiplantae; Streptophyta; Magnoliopsida; Malpighiales; Euphorbiaceae
Description: long non-coding RNA (MESC_LNC009229)
Source: RNAcentral
UCUUUUCUUGGUCUUCUGGGGCCACGGGAUAAGUUGGUGAUAACUACCCAAGUAGUAAUGAAGAAAUCUAUUCUCAUUCUAUAGAACCAUGAUAAUAAAUACCAUACACUAAAAAUCUCUUCAUUACAUAAUUAUAAUUUAAGUUAAGGUUGAGAUGAAUAUCAAACAUUUUACUUUUGAUUAUAUGACUAAAUCUUAGGUCUAGUUUUUGAAAAUAAAGACUUACUAUUAGAACUUUUUUUUAAUUAAAUCUAUCUACUUUUUCUA